UGGGGAAUAUUGGACAAUGGGCGAAAGCCUGAUCCAGCCAUGCCGCGUGUGUGAAGAAGGCCUUUUGGUUGUAAAGCACUUUAAGCGAGGAGGAGGCUACUAGUACUAAUACUACUGGAUAGUGGACGUUACUCGCAGAAUAAGCACCGGCUAACUCUGUGCCAGCAGCCGCGGUAAUACAGAGGGUGCGAGCGUUAAUCGGAUUUACUGGGCGUAAAGCGCGCGUAGGCGGCUAAUUAAGUCAAAUGUGAAAUCCCCGAGCUUAACUUGGGAAUUGCAUUCGAUACUGGUUAGCUAGAGUGUGGGAGAGGAUGGUAGAAUUCCAGGUGUAGCGGUGAAAUGCGUAGAGAUCUGGAGGAAUACCGAUGGCGAAGGCAGCCAUCUGGCCUAACACUGACGCUGAGGUGCGAAAGCAUGGGGAGCAAACAGG
RNAcentral lists this ribosomal RNA (430 nucleotides) under Pseudomonadota bacterium. RNAcentral describes it as "Proteobacteria bacterium partial 16S ribosomal RNA". It matches the Rfam family "Bacterial small subunit ribosomal RNA", at positions 355 to 776 of the family's 1533-position model. Lineage: Bacteria; Pseudomonadati; Pseudomonadota. The record is from RNAcentral.